Molecule: ribosomal RNA, 1435 nt
Filed under: uncultured Pelagibacterales bacterium
Lineage: Bacteria; Pseudomonadati; Pseudomonadota; Alphaproteobacteria; Candidatus Pelagibacterales
Description: uncultured SAR11 cluster alpha proteobacterium 16S ribosomal RNA
Rfam family: Bacterial small subunit ribosomal RNA
Source: RNAcentral
AGAGUUUGAUCCUGGCUCAGAACGUACGCUGGCGGCACGCCUAACACAUGCAAGUCGAACGCAGUAGCAAUACUGAGUGGCAAACGGGUGAGUAUAAUGUGGGAAUCUGCCUUUUGGUUUGGAAUAACACGAGGAAACUUGUGCUAAUACCGGAUAAGCCUUCACAGGGAAAGUUUUAACGCCAAAAGAUGAGCCCGCACUUGAUUAGCUAGUUGGUGAGGUAAUUGCUCACCAAGGCUACGAUCAAUAGCUGUUCUUAGAGGAAGACCAGCCACAUUGGGACUGAGACACGGCCCAAACUCCUACGGGAGGCAGCAGUGGGGAAUCUUGCACAAUGGGGGAAACCCUGAUGCAGCGAUGCCGCGUGAGUGAAGAAGGCCUUUGGGUUGUAAAACUCUUUCGUCGGGGAAGAAAAUGACUGUACCCGAAUAAGAAGGUCCGGCUAACUUCGUGCCAGCAGCCGCGGUAAUACGAAGGGACCUAGCGUAGUUCGGAAUUACUGGGCUUAAAGAGUUCGUAGGUGGUUGAAAAAGUUAGUGGUGAAAUCCCAGAGCUUAACUCUGGAACUGCCAUUAAAACUUUUCAGCUAGAGUAUGAUAGAGGAAAGCAGAAUUUCUAGUGUAGAGGUGAAAUUCGUAGAUAUUAGAAAGAAUACCAAUUGCGAAGGCAGCUUUCUGGAUCAUUACUGACACUGAGGAACGAAAGCAUGGGUAGCGAAGAGGAUUAGAUACCCUCGUAGUCCAUGCCGUAAACGAUGUGUGUUAGACGUUGGAAAUUUAUUUUCAGUGUCGCAGGGAAACCGAUAAACACACCGCCUGGGGAGUACGACCGCAAGGUUAAAACUCAAAUGAAUUGACGGGGACCCGCACAAGUAGUGGAGCAUGUGGUUUAAUUCGAAGAUACGCGCAGAACCUUACCAACACUUGACAUGUUCGUCGCGACUCUAAGAGAUUAGAGUUUUCGGUUCGGCCGGACGAAACACAGGUGCUGCAUGGCUGUCGUCAGCUCGUGUCGUGAGAUGUUGGGUUAAGUCCCGCAACGAGCGCAACCCUCACUUUUAGUUGCCAUCAUUAAGUUGGGCACUCUGAAAGAACUGCCAGUGAUAAGCUGGAGGAAGGUGGGGAUGACGUCAAGUCCUCAUGGCCCUUACGUGUUGGGCUACACACGUGCUACAAUGGUAUCUACAACAGGAAGCAAGACUGCGAAGUUAAGCAAAUCCCUAAAAGAUACCUCAGUUCGGAUUGCACUCUGCAACUCGAGUGCAUGAAGCUGGAAUUACUAGUAAUCGUGGAUCAGCGUGCCACGGUGAAUGCGUUCCCGGGUCUUGUACACACCGCCCGUCACACCAUGGGAGUUGGUUCUACCUUAAGGCAAGGUUUUAAACCCUUGACCACGGUAUAGUCAGCGACUGGGGUGAAGUCGUAACAAGGUAACC